CCUACGGGGUGCAGCAGUGAGGAAUAUUGGUCAAUGGGCGUAAGCCUGAACCAGCCAAGUCGCGUGAGGGAUGAAGGUUCUAUGGAUCGUAAACCUCUUUUAUAAGGGAAUAAAGUGUGGGACGUGUCCUGUUUUGUAUGUACCUUAUGAAUAAGGAUCGGCUAACUCCGUGCCAGCAGCCGCGGUAAUACGGAGGAUCCGAGCGUUAUCCGGAUUUAUUGGGUUUAAAGGGUGCGUAGGCGGCCUGUUAAGUCAGCGGUGAAAGUCGGUGGCUCAACCAGAGAAUUGCCGUUGAAACUGGGAGGCUGGAGUAUGGUAGAGGCAGGCGGAAUGCGUGGUGUAGCGGUGAAAUGCUUAGAUAUCACGAGGAACCCCGAUGGCGAAGGCGGUCUGCUGGGCCGUAACUGACGCUGAGGAACGAAAGCGAGGGUAGCAAACAGGAUUAGAUACCCUGGUAGUC
This 460-nucleotide ribosomal RNA is filed under the name uncultured bacterium. Its description in RNAcentral is "partial 16S ribosomal RNA". It matches the Rfam family "Bacterial small subunit ribosomal RNA", at positions 338 to 795 of the family's 1533-position model. The record is from RNAcentral.